This 542-nucleotide ribosomal RNA is filed under the name uncultured bacterium. Its description in RNAcentral is "partial 16S ribosomal RNA". It matches the Rfam family "Bacterial small subunit ribosomal RNA", at positions 355 to 889 of the family's 1533-position model. The record is from RNAcentral.
UGGGGAAUAUUGGACAAUGGGCGAAAGCCUGAUCCAGCCAUGCCGCGUGUGUGAAGAAGGUCUUCGGAUUGUAAAGCACUUUAAGUUGGGAGGAAGGGCAUUUACCUAAUACGUAAGUGUUUUGACGUUACCGACAGAAUAAGCACCGGCUAACUCUGUGCCACAGCCGCGGUAAUACAGAGGGUGCAAGCGUUAAUCGGAACUACUGGGCGUAAAGUGCGCGUAGGUGGUUCGUUAAGCUGGAUGNGAAAUCCCCGGGCUCAACCUGGGAACUGCAUUCAAAACUGACAAGCUAGAGUAUGGUAGAGGGUGGUGGAAUUUCCUGUGUAGCGGUGAAAUGCGUAGAUAUAGGAAGGAACACCAGUGGCGAAGGCGACCACCUGGACUGAUACUGACACUGAGGUGCGAAAGCGUGGGGAGCAAAACAGGAUUAGAUACCCUGGUAGUCCACGCCGUAAACGAUGUCAACUAGCCGUUGGAGCUUGAGCUCUUAGUGGCGCAGCUAAACGCAUUAAGUUGACCGCCUGGGGGAGUAUGGCCGC